RNAcentral lists this ribosomal RNA (24 nucleotides) under Vibrio tapetis. RNAcentral's name for it is "partial 23S ribosomal RNA". Lineage: Bacteria; Pseudomonadati; Pseudomonadota; Gammaproteobacteria; Vibrionales; Vibrionaceae. The record is from RNAcentral.
GGUUAAGUGACUAAGCGUACACGG